AUCACUUUGUGUGUGGUUUGAAUCUGAACAAUUACAUCGUGUAUCACCAUCAAAUAGGCAAAUUUGUUAUGUGUGAUGGCAAAACAUUGGACCAGUUGGUCAUAUUUAGAAGAGCAAACGGGGAUGGAGUUCUUGGUGUUGCAUGAAGUUGAUGUGCAUGAGAUGGACGUCCAUCCUGUCUCCAAUGGAAGAAAAUCGAUGUCACCAUCUUCAGCUUUCCUCAUGCAGGCCAUUACUCUAGGCUAAGUGAAAAGUACUCGGUCCUUACUGAGUAAGUCACUAAUUAUUCAUUUCAAUUAAAUGCUGAUUAGGAUAUUAUGUGUAAAUAGGAUUGUAAAUAUGUUGUACAUAUAAUUUUCAAUCCCGCAGCAACGCGCGGGCAUCAUUGCUAGU
This is a long non-coding RNA of Pyrus x bretschneideri (Chinese white pear), 393 nucleotides long. RefSeq lists it as uncharacterized. The transcript has 2 exons. The record is from RefSeq and is a predicted model, not a curated record. NCBI's taxonomy places the organism in Eukaryota, Viridiplantae, Streptophyta, Magnoliopsida, Rosales, Rosaceae.